RNAcentral lists this long non-coding RNA (478 nucleotides) under Oreochromis niloticus (Nile tilapia). Its description in RNAcentral is "lncRNA (ENSONIG00000042095.1)". The record is from RNAcentral. Lineage: Eukaryota; Metazoa; Chordata; Actinopteri; Cichliformes; Cichlidae.
GACAAACUGGACAGUGGCCAUGUCGAAGAAGAGUUUCUCCCUUCUCCCCCCCCCUCAGAAAGCUGUAUGUCAAAGUUGAAUUGCAGUGGGGUUUGGGAGGAUUGCAGUUCACUGUAAAUAAGAGAGCUGAACAAUGAAGCCAUGUUCUAAUUGGCCAGAAAACAACUUAGAAAACUUCUUCUUGGUGACUUUAUUGAACAGUUCAAGAGCAAAAUUCAAUCUUCUGUGUUACUUUCACAAUUCUUCAGAGAACGACAUUUCUGUCUGUGUCUUCCUCACACUCACACAGAUGCGCACAGGGGACAAACACAUCAGGGGUCUGCAAAAACCACCUCCCUGGAAAUAUCUCCUCAUGCUCCCUGCCAUAAACCUGCAUACAAGAGGUGGACACAUUGCACAUACUUCAUUGAAAGGAUUCCCUUGGGAGAAGCUUGCUUCUGAGUGUCAGAGGAAAAAGUCACUCUCUUUCAACACGUGA